RNAcentral lists this ribosomal RNA (201 nucleotides) under uncultured Lactobacillus sp. Its description in RNAcentral is "partial 16S ribosomal RNA". It matches the Rfam family "Bacterial small subunit ribosomal RNA", at positions 162 to 356 of the family's 1533-position model. Lineage: Bacteria; Bacillati; Bacillota; Bacilli; Lactobacillales; Lactobacillaceae. The record is from RNAcentral.
GCUAAUACCGGAUAACAACAGAUGAUGCCUAUCAACUGUUUAAAAGAAUGGUUCUGCUAUCACUCUUGGAUGGACCUGCGGUGCAUUAGCUAGUUGGUAGGGUAACGGCCUACCAAGGCGAUGAUGCAUAGCCGAGUUGAGAGACUGAUCGGCCACAUUGGGACUGAGACACGGCCCAAACUCCUACGGGAGGCAGCAGCG